GCUCAGACACUUGUUCCUUGCGCUCUCAGCUUGCUUUCUUUAGCGACAUUCGACAAUUUGUGGCGGCGCUGCUGUGGAGAAAGACAGGUGUGAUUCCCCUUCCUGAUGCCCCCUCCGCAUAGCGCCCCACCCCCACCACUCGUGGAUUCUGUUGAAUCCCGCGGUCGCUAAGGAUGCAGAAAAGAACAUCACCACCACAGUCAUAAAGAUUUACACAAUCCGAAAAGAUGGGCAUGAGGAGCCCGAGGAUGUGGGAAUUAUGAUCGAGGGCAUUAAAGUCCUCAACAACGCUGGCAGUGUCAUCAUGGUGUUGAUCAUGCUGUUUGGGCUCAUCAGGGCACUUCAUCUAGUCUUUCCAGAAAACCUGAAGUACACCUCUGAAGUUUUCCAGAUGAUCAUUAUGAACUAGGAUGGACCCAAGCUAGUCCAUCAAAGGUACAGCAGCUGAAAAUAUAACUUUUUUCAUAAAGGACAGUCAGGGUGUGUGCUCACAGUCCAAGACUGUCAUCGAAGAUGCUUUUCUAGUACCGUAUUUUCACGACCAUAAGGCGCACCGUAUUAAAAGGUGCAGUCUCAGUUACGGGGUCUAUUUCUGUAUUUAACACAUACAUAAGGCGCAACGUAUUAUUGGGCGCAGGCAUGGUAAAACAUACGCUAACUUAAAACGUACGGUAGCAUGCAUGCACGCUAAAACAAUGUUUUUAAAAUGGCAGCGGGAGCAAAACUGAGUUCGGUUGUACUUUAUUGAAGUAUUUAACAAUGUACUCACGUUAUUUUUUGAUCAAUCCUCAUCCACAAAUCCAUCAAAGUCCUCAUCUGUAUCCGAAAUGAACAGCUGGGCAAGUUCUCCAUCAAACACGCCAGGUUCGAGUCAGUCUCGUUGCCGUGUGGCUCCUCAGAAAUGAUGCCGGCUUUUACGAAAGCUCGAACAGUGCCAGCAGACAGUUAGCCCAAACAUCCCCAAUCCAUUCACAAAUUGUGGCGUAUCUCGCCCGGCACUGUUCCCCCUCGUUUUAGUAAAGCUGUGUUCGCCAUCUGUCAUCCAUGGCUCCCACGUCGCUCACUUCACUUUGAACACCCUGUUUACACAGAUGUCCAGCGGUUCGUCAAGCCUCCCGGAAUGAUGGCAAGGUCCAAGUUAUUGCACUCAGUCGAAUGGUGACUGUAGAGAUGCUUCUCCCGGCUGUUAUUUGCUCGUUAAUCCAACUCGGGCCACCUCGCCUUGUUUCCGCAUUUUGUUUUUCUUUUUUUCAACGGAAACUCAGCUUCGUCUUCUUGACUUGGCGAAGCUCGUUUUCCUGCUUCCUCCACUAGCGAACCAUGGAUUCAUUGAUCUUGAAUUCUCUCGCGGCUGCUCGAUUCCCAUGUUUCUCCGCCUAACUGAUAGCUGGCAGUUUAAACUGUGCUUCGUAAGCGUGUCUCUUCGUAGGUGCCGUUUUCGACUGCGGUCAAGCCAGCCUCCACUCGUAAAGUAGCAGUCAAGCCAGCCGCCCCUAAUUUUGUUCAUACUAGGCAUUACGGUAAUAGGUCGCCAACUCGUGGCGAAAGCCACCUUCAAAAUAAAAGCUUCCCAAUAAUAUGGAAGUCAGUGCUCUUCGGUUGAGGAAUGCAACCAGAAAAGUAAAUUUGAAUCUUGAGAUAGAUUAAAAAAUUGUUUCUUUGAUAUCUUAGGAAAAAUAAAUGGUAAAUGGACUGCACUUAUAUAGCACUUUAUCUACAUCAUCACAGUGCCCAAAGCGCUUUACACAGCCUCAAAUUCACACACACAUUCAUAAACCAAUGGGCGGCUGCUGCCAUGCAAGGGGCUGCCAGGCCCACUGGGAGCAAAUUAGGGUUCAGUGUCUUGCCCAAGGACACUUCGACAUGCGGACAGUCGUAGCAGGGAUUCAAACCUGUUCUACCUACUGAGCCAAAGCCACCCCAACAUAAUCCCAUUGGUAUCACAAGACAAGUCCAGAUCUGUGUGACAGACCACGAAGGACUCCACUAAAAGAUUUUUGAUGAGGAUCUGAUAUUAUAUUUCAAAAUAAAAGUCUCUGAAAACAACUAAACAAAAUUUUUUAAUGCAUCUCAAGAUUCAAAUUAACCUUGCUGGUUGCAUUUCUUAACCGAGGAGCAUUGACGUCCGUAUUAUUGGGAAGCUUUUGAGAGGCUGGCUUGACCGGCGCUAUAUAAAGGGGGUGUGCCUUUAGCGUCCUCCUUCAUGCGCGCCCUUCCCCCCUUUACGUCUGCAUGCUGUCCUCAGCCACGUCUGCUUUUCCUCUGUAUAAGCAGCGUGUCGGCAGGAAAUGCUCCCAGUCAGUCAAGCGGAGCGCUCAUCAAAGUCACACAACAUUUACAGAUUUUGGAACUCGGUGCACACAUAAGGCGUGGUGCCGCAUUAUAAGGCGCCCCGUCCAUUUUGGAGAAAAUGUACGACUUCUAAGUGCGCCUUAUGGUCGUGAAAAUACGGUACUUAAAAUGUGUUAAUUCAAGAUACACUAACCUGCGUUACUAUA
Molecule: long non-coding RNA, 2498 nt
Organism: Phycodurus eques (leafy seadragon)
Lineage: Eukaryota; Metazoa; Chordata; Actinopteri; Syngnathiformes; Syngnathidae
Exons: 3
Source: RefSeq, a predicted model, not a curated record